GCGUUGUUGACAGGAAGUAAGGUGUUAGAGUAAUGCCGGGAAAGGAGGGAGACACAUUGGAGUUGAUGUGUGUUUGAAUUGCAACUUGUACAAUAAAGACAAGACAAACAAAGAAGUGCGAGCCUUUCAGUCAUCAAUAUGGGAUUAUUGACACAAUCUUUGUAACAGCAAUUUUUGAGGUGGAACCAUGCAGCCACUUAAGCACGAUCCGCCUGUUUCGCUUCCGUGGAUCGACCCUCGCGUAACCAUGGAUACGGUGGACUUUUCUGGGAGCAGUGCACCAAAAAAAAGAAAGAAAGGAAAUCCCAGUCGAAGGAACGGAAUUUGUUUGUAACCCAGAGACCACCUGUACCAGCAUCAUAGGAACUCAGCAUGUAACUAUUUCUUUCAAGUAAUCCGAUUACACAUGUUGAGUGUCAUACUCUCUAAAAAAAAUACAAAUAAAAAUUUACAUUUUACAGUAAAAAUGAAUGCAGCACAGUUGCCAGAGUUUGAAUGUACAGUGUUUUAUUAUUAUUAUUAUUAUUAUUUUUUUUUACAGUGAAUUACUGUAAAUUGAAAAACAACACCACUCUUAUUUUUACGGUAAAAUUCUGGCGACUAAUCCGGCAGAUGUUUUUUUUGUUUGUUUGUUUUUUAUUGUAAAAUGUACCAAUGUUUUUUUUACCGUAAUGUCUACCAAAAUCAAAUAUUUUACUAGAAAAUUUUAAGUGUUUUUUUUAUUUUUACAACAGCAUUACUGUAAAUUGAAAAACAGUACCACUCUUAUUUUUACGGUAAAAUUCUGGCGACUAAUUGGCAGAUUUUUUUUUUUUACCGUAAUAUGUACGGACGUUCUUUUUACAGUGUAUUACUGUAAAUGUAAAAUGUAUCAGUUAUUUUUACUGUAAAAUUCUGGCAACUAAUCUGUCAGAUAGUUAUGUUUAUUUAAAUUUUUCAUAAAAUGUACGGACGUUCUUUAUACAGUGCAUUACUGUAAAUGUAAAAACUAUAACGGUUAUUUUCACUGUAAAAUUCUGGCGACUGAGCUGACAAUAUUUUAACCCUAAUACCUACCAAAAUCAAAAGUUUUACUCGAAAAUUUACAGUGUUUUUUUUUUUUUUACAACAAAAUUAUUGUAAAUCGAAAAACAGUACCAUUUUUAUUUUUAGGGUAAAAUUCUGGCGACUAAUCUGGCAGAUGUUUUUUUUUGUUUUACGGUAAAAUGUACGAAUGUUCUUUUUACAGUGUAUUACCGUAAAUGUAAAAACUAUCAGUUAUUUUUACCGUACAAUUUUGUCGACUGAGCUGACAGUAUU
Molecule: long non-coding RNA, 1299 nt
Organism: Entelurus aequoreus (snake pipefish)
Lineage: Eukaryota; Metazoa; Chordata; Actinopteri; Syngnathiformes; Syngnathidae
Exons: 4
Source: RefSeq, a predicted model, not a curated record